GAUGAAGAACGCAGCAAAAUGCGAUAAGUAAUGUGAAUUGCAGAAUUCAGUGAAUCAUCGAAUCUUUGAACGCACAUUGCGCCCUUUGGUAUUCCAAAGGGCAUGCCUGUUCGAGCGUCAUUUGUACCCUCAAGCUUUGCUUGGUGUUGGGCGUCUUGUCUCUAGCUUUGCUGGAGACUCGCCUUAAAGUAAUUGGCAGCCGGCCUACUGGUUUCGGAGCGCAGCACAAGUCGCACUCUCUAUCAGCAAAGGUCUAGCAUCCAUUAGGCCUUUUUUUCAACUUUUGACCUCGGAUCAGGUAGGGAUACCCGCUGAACUUAAGCAUAUCAUAAGCGGAGGA
RNAcentral lists this unclassified non-coding RNA (340 nucleotides) under soil metagenome. RNAcentral describes it as "partial contains 5.8S ribosomal RNA, internal transcribed spacer 2, and large subunit ribosomal RNA". The stretch from base 1 to 120 matches the Rfam family "5.8S ribosomal RNA", at positions 35 to 154 of the family's 154-position model. The record is from RNAcentral.